GAUCGUCAUGUCUUGGAUCGUCCUAAAUUUAUGGACUUACGCUCAAACUUCCACUGGAGUUGCGAGAAGAGAUUAAUCAGGUAGUCAUUGCUGGGUGCCCUGACAUACGCGUUUGCAAUGAUGAAAUUUUAAAUAGUAUGGAUAUGAGCGUAGAUAUCCGAGGGGCAAUAUGCUUGGACGCGAGUUCGACUCUCGCCAUCUCCAUUA
This 207-nucleotide transfer-messenger RNA is filed under the name Lactiplantibacillus paraplantarum. RNAcentral describes it as "Lactobacillus paraplantarum partial transfer-messenger RNA". It matches the Rfam family "transfer-messenger RNA", at positions 157 to 374 of the family's 374-position model. Rfam says of the family: Bacterial tmRNA, also known as 10Sa RNA or SsrA, is named for its dual tRNA and mRNA-like properties. Its role is to liberate the mRNA from a stalled ribosome. The record is from RNAcentral. Lineage: Bacteria; Bacillati; Bacillota; Bacilli; Lactobacillales; Lactobacillaceae.